GAUGAACGCUGGCGGCGUGCCUAAUACAUGCAAGUCGAGCGAACAGACGAGGAGCUUGCUCCUCUGACGUUAGCGGCGGACGGGUGAGUAACACGUGGAUAACCUACCUAUAAGCCUGGGAUAACUUCGGGAAACCGGAGCUAAUACCGGAUAAUAUAUUGAACCGCAUGGUUCAAUAGUGAAAGCCGGUUUUGCUGUCACUUAUAGAUGGAUCCGCGCCGCCUUAGCUAGUUGGUAAGGUAACGGCUUACCAAGGCAACGAUGCGUAGCCGACCUGAGAGGGUGAUCGGCCACACUGGAACUGAGACACGGUCCAGACUCCUACGGGAGGCAGCAGUAGGGAAUCUUCCGCAAUGGGCGAGAGCUUGACGGAGCAACGCCGCGUGAGUGAUGAAGGUCUUCGGAUCGUAAAACUCUGUUAUUAGGGAAGAACAAAUGUGUAAGUAACUAUGCACGUCUUGACGGUACCUAAUCAGAAAGCCACGGCUAACUACGUG
This 497-nucleotide ribosomal RNA is filed under the name uncultured bacterium. Its description in RNAcentral is "partial 16S ribosomal RNA". It matches the Rfam family "Bacterial small subunit ribosomal RNA", at positions 28 to 507 of the family's 1533-position model. The record is from RNAcentral.